UUUAAUAAAAAUAAAUAAAUGCUUACAAGUAUUAUAAAAGUUAAGAGAUCAAACAAUGUAAAAAUUAAAUUUCAACUUCUAGCAUAAUAGAGGAAAUAAAAACAAAAUUAAACCUUACAAUAUUCUCCCCAGCCACGUAAAAUUAGCCAAAUGGUUAAAUUGCUUUUUAGGCCCUCUUAAAAAUUAAAAGAUUUAGUACUUAGAAUUUUAUCUCCGUAAUUUCGAAAAGAAAAGGGUUAGUCCAAGUAAAAUGUAGAAGAAUAGGAAUAGUGCUUAUGCCGUGAGCUUUCUUCUAAGCCUCAUUUAAAAUCAGUUUAUGAUUAGUCACCAUAGUCUCUCCUUUUGCCAAUUUUUUAUUAUUGUCGUUGUGUCAUGCUAUAGUUGAAGACGACUACAUCUAACUCUCAGCACCAAAUUUGCAACACAUACUAUAAAUUCAUUAUGUCUCAAAUUGAUGCCAUCUUUAACAAAGUCUUCAACCUUCAACGUUCAAGCUCCUCCUUUCUCCAUUUGACCUUUAAGUUCUCUCCUAUGAAGUGUACAGGCCCUAUUUUGCCCGGGCCCAAGUGAAAAACAAACCAAAAUAUAAAAUAUAAAAAAAUCCAUUACAGUCCAAACAAAUGGCCCAACUAGCCCAAAAAAAUCAAGCCCGGUAAGCCCAAAAAUUAAACACAAUCAGAGAAACCCUAGGUUUCCCUACCCCUUUUGCGCCGCAGCCAACCCCUGGCGCCGUACGCCUUCUGCAGCCUGACCCAUGUGCGCCCUCGGCACGUACACCGCCCGAAGCCUGGCAGCCUUUCACCAAAACGGCAAAAAGCCGUGAAAUCCGCCCUCGUCAACGUCUCCAGCUGGCCGAACCUGCAAGAAAAAGAAAGAAAGGACCACAAAAGCAGAAAAACAGCAACAGAGAACAGAACACAGUAGUGUGUAAUCGGCUAUAAGAGCCGAAUGAAAUGUAAUGUAAAAGGGGUUUUUUUUUUUCAGAAAUAAGAAGAAAAAGAAAUAAAAGAACAGAGAUCGAAUUCUGAGAAAGUUUUGAGGUCCGAAUCUUUCAUUUUUUUUCAUUAUUUUGUUUUUAUUUUUAUUUUAUAUACGCAUCUAUAAAUCGAAAAUAAAUUAAAAAAAGGGGAAAGCCUUACCUGCGCCGUGCCGGAGGAGGAGAAGCCGAACGGUUUCCCUUCGGUUCUAGGGUUCGUGGCCACCUUUCCAAGGAUUCAACCUUGAAUCCGGGUUCUAGGGGUGACGAGCUUUAAGCGGGGCUAAGAAAGGGCCGACUUUGCAGCUCCGACCGCCACUUGCGGCGGAGCUGCGGCGGAGAUACGGCGGAGGUGCGCCGGAGCCCUCGAUCGGAGACCUAGGCCGGUCUAGCGGGAAGGCUGAGAGGGAAUCUUCUGGUUUUUGUUUUUGAAAUAAAAGGAGAAAUGAGGAUUCUUUAAGAAAAAAUUCGUUUUUAUACUAUUCCAAAACGGCGCCGUUUAAUCAGGGGUUUUUAGCGCUAAAACGGCGCCGUUCUGCUCGACCCGUGCGCCACCCGACCCGUUUGCUACGAGGAUCCGCG
RNAcentral lists this long non-coding RNA (1558 nucleotides) under Gossypium barbadense (sea-island cotton). Its description in RNAcentral is "long non-coding RNA (GBAR_LNC020420)". The record is from RNAcentral. Lineage: Eukaryota; Viridiplantae; Streptophyta; Magnoliopsida; Malvales; Malvaceae.